RNAcentral lists this ribosomal RNA (497 nucleotides) under uncultured bacterium. RNAcentral describes it as "partial 16S ribosomal RNA". It matches the Rfam family "Bacterial small subunit ribosomal RNA", at positions 28 to 507 of the family's 1533-position model. The record is from RNAcentral.
GACGAACGCUGGCGGCGUGCUUAACACAUGCAAGUCGAACGGUGAAGCGCCUUCCUUUUUGGUUGGUGUGGAUGAGUGGCGAACGGGUGAGUAACACGUGAGUAACCUGCCCCCUUCUUCUGGAUAACCGCAUGAAAGUGUGGCUAACACGGGAUAUUCUGAGUCUGUCGCAUGAUGGGUCUGAGAAAGAUAUUGUUUCGGUGGGGGAUGGGCUCGCGGCGUAUCAGCUUGUUGGUGGGGUGAUGGCUUACCAAGGCGGCGACGGGUAGCCGGCCUGAGAGGGUGAGCGGCCACACAGGAACUGAGACACGGUCCAGACGCCUACGGGGGGCAGCAGUAGGGGAUCUUCCUCGAUGGGCGGAAGCCUGACGGAGCAACGCCGCGCGGGUGAGGAAGGUCGUCUUAUCGUAGGACUCUCUUAUUCGGGAAGAACAAACGUGUAAGUAACUGUGCGCGUCUUUACGGUACCUAAUCAGAAAGCCACGGCUAACUACGUG